UUUGAUCCUGGCUCAGAACGAACGCUGGCGGCAGGCUUAACACAUGCAAGUCGAGCGCCCCGCAAGGGGAGCGGCAGACGGGUGAGUAACGCGUGGGAAUCUACCCUUUUCUACGGAAUAACGCAGGGAAACUUGUGCUAAUACCGUAUAAGCCCUUCGGGGGAAAGAUUUAUCGGGAAAGGAUGAGCCCGCGUUGGAUUAGCUAGUUGGUGGGGUAAAGGCCUACCAAGGCGACGAUCCAUAGCUGGUCUGAGAGGAUGAUCAGCCACAUUGGGACUGAGACACGGCCCAAACUCCUACGGGAGGCAGCAGUGGGGAAUAUUGGACAAUGGGCGCAAGCCUGAUCCAGCCAUGCCGCGUGAGUGAUGAAGGCCCUAGGGUUGUAAAGCUCUUUCACCGGUGAAGAUAAUGA
This 412-nucleotide ribosomal RNA is filed under the name bacterium IGS137. RNAcentral describes it as "bacterial SSU rRNA". It matches the Rfam family "Bacterial small subunit ribosomal RNA", at positions 12 to 454 of the family's 1533-position model. The record is from RNAcentral.